Molecule: ribosomal RNA, 913 nt
Filed under: uncultured bacterium
Lineage: Bacteria
Description: bacterial SSU rRNA
Rfam family: Bacterial small subunit ribosomal RNA
Source: RNAcentral
GAGUUUGAUCCUGGCUCAGGAUGAACGCUAGCGAUAGGCUUAACACAUGCAAGUCGAGGGGUAACAUGAUUGAAGCUUGCUUCAAUUGAUGACGACCGGCGCACGGGUGCGUAACACGUAUGCAACCUACCUAUAAAUGAGGAAUAACCCGGAGAAAUUCGGACUAAUACCUCAUAGUAUUUAAAAGAGGCAUCUCUUUUAUCUUAAAGAAUUUCGUUUAUAGAUGGGCAUGCGCAUGAUUAGUUAGUUGGCGGGGUAACGGCCCACCAAGACAACGAUCAUUAGGGGUUCUGAGAGGAAGAUCCCCCACACUGGUACUGAGACACGGACCAGACUCCUACGGGAGGCAGCAGUGAGGAAUAUUGGUCAAUGGACGAAAGUCUGAACCAGCCAAAUCGCGUGAAGGAAGACUGCCCUAUGGGUUGUAAACUUCUUUUAUAUGGGAAUAAAGUGCGCUACGUGUAGCGUUUUGUAUGUACCAUAUGAAUAAGGACCGGCUAACUCCGUGCCAGCAGCCGCGGUAAUACGGAGGGUCCGAGCGUUAUCCGGAUUUAUUGGGUUUAAAGGGUGCGUAGGCGGGAUGUCAAGUCAGCGGUGAAAUCUUCUAGCUCAACUAGAAAACUGCCGUUGAAACUGAUAUUCUUGAGUGUAAACGAGGUAAGCGGAAUGUGUCAUGUAGCGGUGAAAUGCUUAGAGAUGACACAGAACACCAAUUGCGAAGGCAGCUUACUAGGAUACAACUGACGCUGAGGCACGAAAGCGUGGGUAUCGAACAGGAUUAGAUACCCUGGUAGUCCACGCAGUAAACGAUGAUUACUAGCUGUUUGCGAUAUAUUGUAAGUGGCUAAGGGAAACCGAUAAGUAAUCCACCUGGGGAGUACGUUCGCAAGAAUGAAACUCAAAGGAAUGACGG